GCGGCCGCGAAUUCGCCCUUGCAUAUCAAUAAGCGGAGGAAAAGAAACUAACAAGGAUUCCCCUAGUAACGGCGAGUGAAGAGGGAAGAGCUCAAAUUUUAAAUCUGCCUUGUUUCAAGGUCGAGUUGUAAUUUGAAGAAGCGUUUUCUUGGGCUCGCGGCCGGUAGAAGUUCUUUGGAACAGGACAUCAUAGAGGGUGACAAUCCCGUCUGCGACCGGUCGUGUGUUCAUCUACGAUACGCUUUCAAAGAGUCGAGUUGUUUGGGAUUGCAGCUCCAAAUGGGUGGUAAACAUCACCUAAGGCUAAAUAUUGGCGAGAGACCGAUAGCGAGCAAGUACCGUGAGGGAAAGAUGAAAAGAACUUUGAAAAGAGAGUUAAACAGUACGUGAAAUUGUUGAAAGGGAAACGAUUGAAGUCAGUCGUGCUGGCGCGAAAUCAACCCUCUCGUCGAGAGGACACAUGGCGUGGCGAGCCUCAAAACCGUCACGAAGCGUGAACUCUUGGCGAAAAGGAGCACUUUCGUGUCCGCUGGUUAACAUCAAUUUCGAACGUCAUAAAAAGGCUGGAGGGAUGUGGCUCCUUCGGGAGUGUUAUAACCUUUAGCGGAAUGUGGUGGUCGGGAUUGAGGAUUGCAACGAAUACCUUUAGGGCUGUUCCACCUGGCCUCUCUUUGGUAUCCUGGUGACGACAGCUUGCUGACGUUGUUAGGAUUCGCCAU
This 719-nucleotide ribosomal RNA is filed under the name Entrophospora claroidea. Its description in RNAcentral is "partial 25S ribosomal RNA". It matches the Rfam family "Eukaryotic large subunit ribosomal RNA", at positions 23 to 634 of the family's 3401-position model. The record is from RNAcentral. Lineage: Eukaryota; Fungi; Glomeromycota; Glomeromycetes; Entrophosporales; Entrophosporaceae.